Long non-coding RNA from Mizuhopecten yessoensis (Yesso scallop), 2049 nucleotides. RefSeq lists it as uncharacterized. The transcript is spliced from 2 exons. Lineage: Eukaryota; Metazoa; Mollusca; Bivalvia; Pectinida; Pectinidae. The record is from RefSeq and is a predicted model, not a curated record.
ACGAGGAGUCUUUUCCCCGCAGACAUUCAAGUUUCAAAUUUACACUGAAACAUAUGUGCAAGCGGAAUUUAAAUUAGUGACACGUCUACUAAUUUCAUAAUAUUUAAAUAUUGUAAGCAGCACAUCAAGAUCCGCGAAAUCGGACUGUUUUAGUGAGGUAAUUAGUGACCUACUGUAUAAAGUAAGACGUAAAACAAUUGAAGAUCAACAUUGAUGCUGAACUGCUCAGAUUUGCCAGACAAGGAUGAGGCAGCUUAAAGGGAAAGUAAAGGAAAGCAAGAAGGAGAGAAGAGAAAGAAGAGGAGACAAUGUACAAAACAGAGAGAAAAUGUUAACAGUGGUCAUUCCAACCUUGGUUGUUUUAGCAGCAAUCAUCUCCGUCUAUGUCUUCAUCAAUUCCAGACCUGGCACAGCAUGAUCAACACUGCUAUCCCACAAUCUACACACCCUGAUCAUGAUGUAGCUCUGGUUGUCACGGGAAUCGAUUUUGGUGCUUAGUACAUGAUGAAGUGGAUAAAAGUGAAGAGUAACAGCUCUGUAUUGAACAUAUCUACCUAAUACAAAUGUGUACAUUGAUACCAUGAGAAAAUGGUGUAGACGUUCUGGCAGCAGUUUGCCUGGAUUACAACAUAUACUUACAUGUGGCACUGUACGUCUCCUAGCGUUGUAUGUGGUUGUGUAUGUGUAUGUGUGUUAACAAAGUUAAAUACAAACAUAUUCAAGGAAAAUGGUUUACAUUUGUAUUUGAGUCUGUGAUCAACUGAAAUAUUAAGAGUAUAUGUGGUAAUAUAAGAACUGUUUUAUAUAUAAUACAAGGACGGCUCACUAAUUCAUUGGAAGUUUAUAUGACAUCAAUGGGUACCUUUUUAAAAAAAAUAUAUAUAUUUUCAACUUAUUCCCAAUAAAGUACAUGCAUUUAAUGCAAUGCAUAAUCUAUGUUCUAAGGAUCGAUGAAUAAAUCUUGUGAAUAAAUGCUAUCAUGAUACAGUGUACAUGUGUGUUCAAUCCACUAUUGGAACCUAUAUAUAGCUACCUACUGUUUUUUGAAGCAGAAGCUGGAAACACAACUAUAGUUUUUUGUUUGGCCAUUAACCUUGAUAAAAUACAAGUGGGGAAAAAUUAGAAUGUAUGCUGUUAUAAUUUCAAAUUUAAUCAUCAGACAUCUAAAACUACACAAAUCAAACAUGCAUAUUCUUGCAUUCAAAACUUUCAUAAAAUUACUGAGAAAAUCAUAGAAUUACUUAAAAAAGAAAUAUACAAAAAUCGCUACGUUCCAAGUAAUUUUAAGUGACCUUUUGACAUUAUUAGAAACUAACUAAUGAAUCAAUUAUUAGCUGGUUCAAGGUGCAUAUGUUUUGUUUUACCUUUUAAAUAAGUUUAUACAUGUAAAAUUACCUGGUAAUUUAAGAGAGAAAAUACUCAUUGUGACUGAUGAGAUUUUUUAAAAUUUAUUAUUAUUUCUUAAUAGUUGAGAUAUUUUUAUUUCAUUAAUUAUAUAUGUUCCUUUCUUAAUUUAAGACACAAACCAUUAACAAAUUUAUAAAAAUGUGAUUUCUGGGGCUUGAUACCAGAAACUUCUUCAACCUGGCGUUCCUCAAUGUCCUUCUCUUUUGGAAUUACCUCAACCUUGAUAUCAUCCCCAUUUAUGAAAAUUUUCUAUUUUUAUAGAUUCUAUUUGGUAUAUAUAAUAGUCUUACACAAAUCUUAAUCAAACACAUGAAUUUGUGUUACUAUAUUGCACAAAGUUUUGUUAGUGGUAAGAUUUUCUUCCUUAAUUAUCAUAAUGUAAGUUCAAUUUUAGACUGGCUAUAUCUACCAGCCCCUAAGUUUUUAUGAAGAAUUUCUCAACUGCAUUUUACUACUAGCUUAUCUCCCCCUAGUUAAUAAUCGGACAUCCAAGUGAUCAAAAUUAUAAGAGUUAUUUUUUUUCUAAAUAAUUCAAUAUUCUGGAGAUGGGGGCCAGUCUAGUUCAACAUAUGACAAUCUUAAAUUUAGAAAUCUGGAUUUGCUCAAAUUAUACUUUCUGUCAAAAUAUUCACUAAUGAAUGA